CUCUCUCUCUCUCUCUCUCUCUCUCUCUCUCUCUCUCGCCUAAGCUCCAUAGCACCUAGAACAAGACAUGGUCGAGGUUCGAAAGGAUCGUCAGAGAGAAAAAGAGAUGGUAACUUACCCAGUUCUUUCAUAAAAAAGUAUCUGGUGAAAAAGCUGAAUCUUCACAGCGAGGCGGAGAUUUGUGUUCUUUCCAAUUUCUAACAUGAAACUGUUUGAGGAUGCUAGCUAAUGAAGGUGCUGCAGUGUUGUGUUCCUUGCAAUCUCUGACCUGAAACUGUUGAGGAAGCUAGCUAAUGAAGGUGCUA
Rosa chinensis is the source of this 305-nucleotide long non-coding RNA. RefSeq lists it as uncharacterized. The transcript has 3 exons. The record is from RefSeq and is a predicted model, not a curated record. NCBI's taxonomy places the organism in Eukaryota, Viridiplantae, Streptophyta, Magnoliopsida, Rosales, Rosaceae.